Long non-coding RNA from Coturnix japonica (Japanese quail), 1278 nucleotides. RefSeq lists it as uncharacterized. The record is from RefSeq and is a predicted model, not a curated record. NCBI's taxonomy places the organism in Eukaryota, Metazoa, Chordata, Aves, Galliformes, Phasianidae.
ACAGAAGUAAAUGGGCACUCCUGGGCAUGCUGUCUAAGCUAAUAGCACUGCAGGCUGCAGCAAGCAGAAACAUGCUCCAUUUCUGCCACUGCCAAAUAACUGAAAUCAUUUGGACUUGGCUCUCAUGUUGUAUCACAACCGAUUGCAUGGUGCCGAUUAUCUUUUCUCUUUCUACCCUCAAAGGCACCUGCCAAAAAUAAUCACUAUUUUUGACAGGACGACUUCACUGAAGACUACAUCUUCCAUGUGUAUUUUUGUUUUGUUUUAAUGAAAUCUUCCCCGUUGAGCUGUUCAAUGACCAUCAAUCUGAUAGAGCUGUACUGGGACACAGGAAGAAGCACUCUGCACUUGGAUGUAGGAGAGAGCAAUGGCUAGUCCUUGGGCUGGAAUCACCCCAACCAGGACAAACAGCUGCAACCACAUCGUUAAAUUAGGAAUGGGAUUCAUCUCCAAUAGCUGAACCCAAAGGGUACAUCCCAGCUCCACUAGAUGGCAGACAGGACCUUCAAAGGUCUGAUCCCAUGGAAACCAGAUUGCAGUUCCCUCGACACUUAUCAGUUAAAAUGUUCUAAUCAAUCAGUGCAUUUUAUUAUAAUCUUUCCAAUGAGACUCAUUGCAUGCAGUAUAGAACCAAUGGACUCCACUACCCAUCCUACAGCCAUGACAUUACAGCUCAUUUUUCCCCUUUCUACUUGCCUUAGUUCUCUGAAAUGAUCAUAAAGGCACAAGGAGGGCUCCCUUCAGAGAAAUAUCAUGUGUUUUCAUUAGGUAACCUUGUAGAGAAAGACCAUGCUGCCCCUGAAGCAAGUAUCCCAACCCAGGACGUCCCUUAAAUAGGUUGAGUAUGGAUUCUGAUGUGGCUGAAUCUUGAGCUCACCCCAAGUCUGCUGGCUACUUGGCUCCCAGAAAAGGCUGCAAAACCCAAAACACUGAACACAUUGACAUACUGUUCUCUUUGUCACUUAAACUGGAUGAAAUGCUUUUGAAAAGCCAAUAUUUUAUCAACAAAUGAACUCAUUUUCUACCAAUUUUGCAAUAUUUGAAAUGUUUCUGAAUAGAUCCCGUAUCCUUGGAUCAAAGUCUGCACUGGUUGCAGAAAACAACUUGACCUGCUCGAAUUGUGAAGGAUGCACAUGUGCUCAGGUCUCUUCUUGGAAGAGGAAUUCUGUUAAAUCAAAGCAUGUUAUUUUGGUUGGUUUUGGUGUGAUUUUUAUCACUGUUAAUGUAAAAAUGGCUCUUAAGAUUUUGAUGUGGAAAUAAAGAGAUCCCUUGUCAAAA